GCUGGACAUGCCAGUGCAUGCCUGUAAUCCCAGCAACUUGGGAGGCUGAGAGAGGAGUAUUGCAAGUUGAAGGCCAGCCUCAGCAACUUAGUGAGAUUCUCAGAGUUAGCGAGACCCUGUCUCCA
RNAcentral lists this small RNA (125 nucleotides) under Marmota monax (woodchuck). Lineage: Eukaryota; Metazoa; Chordata; Mammalia; Rodentia; Sciuridae. The record is from RNAcentral.